This 230-nucleotide ribosomal RNA is filed under the name uncultured bacterium. RNAcentral's name for it is "partial 16S ribosomal RNA". It matches the Rfam family "Bacterial small subunit ribosomal RNA", at positions 524 to 751 of the family's 1533-position model. The record is from RNAcentral.
UACAGAGGUGGCAAGCGUUGUUCGGAAUUACUGGGCGUAAAGGGCGCGUAGGCGGUCUUGUAAGUCUUGUGUGAAAUCCCACGGCUCAACCGUGGAAGUGCACCCGAAACUGCGCAGCUAGAGUCCUGGAGAGGAAGGCGGAAUACUUGGUGUAGAGGUGAAAUUCGUAGAUAUACAAGUGGAACACCGGUGGCGAAGGCGGCCUUCUGGACAGUGACGUGACGCUGAGA